GACGAACGCUGGCGGCGUGCUUAACACAUGCAAGUCGAACGGAAAGGCCCUGCUUUUGUGGGGUGCUCGAGUGGCGAACGGGUGAGUAACACGUGAGUAACCUGCCCUUGACUUUGGGAUAACUUCAGGAAACUUGGGCUAAUACCGGAUAGGAGCUCCUGCUGCAUGGUGUGGGUUGGAAAGUUUCGGCGUUUGUGGAUGGACUCGCGGCUUAUCAGCUUGUUUGUGGGGUAGUGGCUUACCAAGGCUUUGACGGGUAGCCGGCAUGAGAGGGUGACCGGCGAAAAUGGGACUGAGAUAGGGCCCAGAAGGCAACGGGAGGCAGCAGUGGGGAAGAUUGCACAAUGGGAGGAAGCCUGAUGCAGCAACGCCGCGUGCGGGAUGACGGCCUUCGGGUUGUAAACCGAUUUAGACUGUGACGAAGAGUGAGUGACGGUAAUGGGUAAAGAAGCACCGGCUAACUACGUG
This 468-nucleotide ribosomal RNA is filed under the name uncultured bacterium. Its description in RNAcentral is "partial 16S ribosomal RNA". It matches the Rfam family "Bacterial small subunit ribosomal RNA", at positions 28 to 507 of the family's 1533-position model. The record is from RNAcentral.